Molecule: transfer RNA, 68 nt
Filed under: Neotoma lepida (desert woodrat)
Lineage: Eukaryota; Metazoa; Chordata; Mammalia; Rodentia; Cricetidae
Source: Rfam by way of RNAcentral
AGGUGUUCCUCAUUUGGUAGAGGGUUUACCUAUCAUGCAUAAAGCUCUGGGUUUGAUCCCCAGCACUU